RNAcentral lists this unclassified non-coding RNA (200 nucleotides) under uncultured Tomentella. RNAcentral's name for it is "sequence contains ITS1". The record is from RNAcentral. Lineage: Eukaryota; Fungi; Basidiomycota; Agaricomycetes; Thelephorales; Thelephoraceae.
CCGAAUUGUCGACACGAGUUGUUGCUGGUCCUCAAAUGGGGGCAUGUGCACGCUCUGUUCACACAUCCACUCACACCUGUGCACCCUCUGUAGUUUUAUGGCCUGGGGGGCUCUCUCCCUCCUGCUGUGAUUCUACGUCUUUACACACACACUGUAACGAAGUACUAUGGAAUGUAUGUCGCGUUUAACGCAAUGCAAUA